Molecule: unclassified non-coding RNA, 502 nt
Filed under: uncultured Acaulospora
Lineage: Eukaryota; Fungi; Glomeromycota; Glomeromycetes; Diversisporales; Acaulosporaceae
Description: SSU rRNA
Rfam family: Eukaryotic small subunit ribosomal RNA
Source: RNAcentral
CCAAUAGCGUAUAUUAAAGUUGUUGCAGUUAAAAAGCUCGUAGUUGAAUUUCGGAAUCUGUCCGUUGGUCGGGCUUCAUUGUCCGUACUGGUGUGAUGGGUUCUUACCUUCUGAAUAACCAGCAUGCCAUUCACUUGGUGCGCUGGGGAAGCAGGACUAUUACCUUGAAAAAAUUAGAGUGCUCAAAGCAGGCUAGCGCCUGAAUACAUUAGCAUGGAAUAAUAAAAUAGGACGGCAUGGUUCUAUUUUGUUGGUUUCUAGGAUCACCGUAAUGAUUAAUAGGGAUAGUUGGGGGCAUUAGUAUUCAAUUGUCAGAGGUGAAAUUCUUGGAUUUAUUGAAGACUAACUUCUGCGAAAGCAUUUGCCAAGGAUGUUUUCAUUAAUCAAGAACGAAAGUUAGGGGAUCGAAGACGAUCAGAUACCGUCGUAGUCUUAACCAUAAACUAUGCCGACUAGGGAUCGGACGAUGUUAAUUUUUUAAUGACUCGUUCGGCGCCUUACG